Small nucleolar RNA from Tachyglossus aculeatus (Australian echidna), 137 nucleotides. Lineage: Eukaryota; Metazoa; Chordata; Mammalia; Monotremata; Tachyglossidae. The record is from RefSeq and is a predicted model, not a curated record.
ACCCUCUCAGGGUCUACUUGGAGAGUUUCCAGUACUCUGCCAGUUUCUACGAUGGGAGGGAUUGAAAAGCAGAGGCAUACCCAUUCCAUUCCUAGCUUGGGCAGUGGCUAGUGAGUGGAAGGCAAUCUGCUAUAAGU